AGAACGAACGCUGGCGGCAGGCCUCAAACAUGCAAGUCUAGGGGGUGCAGCAAUGCAUCACCGGCGGACGGGUGCGUAACACGUGGGAAUAUACCUUUUGGUUCGGAACAACGCAGGGGAAACUUGCGCUAAUACCGAAUGUGCCCUUACGGGGAAAGAUUUAUCGCCAAAGGAUUAGCCCGCGUCCGAUUAGCUAGUUGGUGAGGUAAUGGCUCACCAAGGCUCCGAUCGGUAGCUGUUCUGAGAGGAAGAUCAGCCACGCUGGGACUGAGACACGGCCCAGACUCCUACGGGAGGCAGCAGUUGGGAAUCUUGGACAAUGGGGGAAACCCUGAUCCAGCCAUGCCGCGUGAGUGAUGAAGGCCUUCGGGUUGUAAAACUCUUUCGACGGGGACGAUAAUGACGGUACCCGUAGAAGAAGCUCCGGCUAACUUCGCGCCAGCAGCCGC
RNAcentral lists this ribosomal RNA (449 nucleotides) under uncultured bacterium. RNAcentral describes it as "SSU rRNA". It matches the Rfam family "Bacterial small subunit ribosomal RNA", at positions 26 to 518 of the family's 1533-position model. The record is from RNAcentral.